RNAcentral lists this ribosomal RNA (520 nucleotides) under uncultured Glomus. RNAcentral's name for it is "SSU rRNA". It matches the Rfam family "Eukaryotic small subunit ribosomal RNA", at positions 569 to 1088 of the family's 1831-position model. Lineage: Eukaryota; Fungi; Glomeromycota; Glomeromycetes; Glomerales; Glomeraceae. The record is from RNAcentral.
AGCAGCCGCGGUAAUUCCAGCUCCAAUAGCGUAUAUUAAAGUUGUUGCAGUUAAAAAGCUCGUAGUUGAAUUUCGGGAUCAGCAGGUCGGUCGUGCCACUGGUAUGCACUGGCCUUGCUGAUUCCUCCCUCUUGAUGAGCCGUAAUGCCAUUAAUUUGGUGUUGCGGGGAAUCAGGACUGUUACUUUGAAAAAAUUAGAGUGUUUAAAGCAGGCAUGCGCUUGAAUACAUUAGCAUGGAAUAAUGAAAUAGGACGUUCGAUCCUAUUUUGUUGGUUUCUAGGAUUGACGUAAUGAUUAAUAGGGAUAGUUGGGGGCAUUAGUAUUCAAUUGUCAGAGGUGAAAUUCUUGGAUUUAUUGAAGACUAACUACUGCGAAAGCAUUUUGCCAAGGAUGUUUUCAUUAAUCGAGAACGAAAGUUAGGGGAUCGAAGACGAUCAGAUACCGUCGUAGUCUUAACCAUAAACUAUGCCGACUAGGGAUCGGAUGAUGUUAAUUUUUUCAAUGACUCAUUCGGCGCCU